UCAGUGACUCAGUGAACCACAGUCAUCACAAUGAGUUAGGAAACUUGUACUCCGUGGGCUCCAUCACCGCCUACUACAGUGGUUUGUCCAAGCCAUGCUGAUCUUUUAUAAUCUAGCACAAAGCUAAGGCUAAGAGAAUGAGUACUGAUAGCUACUUUUUUUCCAUAUUGAACUUGGUAGAUAAUCUUACACUCAGUACAAAUAAACUGAAUAGAUUUAAUGCUAUCAAUCAACAGUGUUUAUGCUAGGCAAAAAGACAGGAAUGUGUUCCUUUUCUCCCAGAGGAAGGAUCACUCUUCUUCAGCAAAAGCUCCAAUCAUGGCCCAAAUCUAUGCAUCUAGAGACUAACAAAUGUGAUUAUGAUACAAAGAAAUCAUCUGCACUUACAACUGGAAGAUGCUUGGUUUUCUUACGCUGCAGCAGCCCUACAAUAAGUCUUAUGCACACUGGCUUCUGGACUCGGGGAAAAACAACAGCCACAAUGAUUAUCGCUGCCCACAGAGAAUGUUUUUCAGUCAGGGCAGUGUCAGUGCUUUCACGUGAGUGCAAUCAGUAGCAAUCCAGGAAGUCAAAAGACCAGGAAACUCAAACAGCUGAGGAUGAGGACAGUGUGGUCUGCCUGAAACCUAGCUGCUGGGAGGUAAGAAAGAUGGUGAGACUGGGAGAAAGAGGGAGGAGAGAAGAUGCAAUCUGAUGCUGAAGUCAUACUAUGCUGCUGACCUUAAGAGUGAUUCAGUGAGCACCGUGUCCUCUCUCAGAGGUACGAAGCAAUAAGCAGAGAACAUUUGGCAUCCCUGUCCAUGAAGAGACCUAAGCCAACUGUUCUGCUCUCCUCCUUCAGCUGCUGUAGGAACCAGCUGCAGACAGCUCUAGGAAGGAAGUGUUACUAUGGGCAAAAGGAAUGAAACUUGAUUAAAAUAAACUUUUAUUCCCACCAUUAUGAAAAACGGGGAAGAGGAAUCUGACUGUUGUCUGUUUGCCCAUAAUUGCUAUUGCAGACAGGACUAGACAGUUACAGGUAUAGUACUUAAACACUCAUAAAUUCUACUUUGAAGGUCAAAAGUUUCUAAAAUUGUUUUUGAUUGUGACUUAUAGCAGCAGAGUUCAGAAGUUCUCCUUAAGUCCGGAGAAGCUGCCAAAUACAACCACACUUCAAUAGGUACAAAGUACCCUUUGGAGGAAUUCCUGGCUUUGUGUUAUCAUAAAACAUCCAUCAAAUUCUAAUCACCUCUCAUUACUGCACAAGCAGUAGCUUUUCUGGGUUAGAAGACCUGCAAAUGCAUACACAGAGAAGCACAGCUGUAAGAGUCAAACCCAGCUUCAUAACUCUUCCAUUUCCAAGUAAGCCUCCCAAAUUACAAUGUGAUACACUCCUACUGUAGGCAAGGUAAACUCAAAAGUGUUUAGUCAGUUCUUAGGAUGUCUAGGUCUGCACAGUUUACUGUACUCCCAUGUGCUUUUCUUCGUCCAGGAACUGCAGGAGAACUGAGGAUAUGAAGACAGUGUGAAGGAAACGACCAUCAGUUCCCUUCUCUUAGUCCAUCACUAAUUUGUAAGACGAACUACCGUGAAAGUAACACUUGACAUUCAAUAUAUAUAAUACACAUUCCCAACAUUUUCUGAAAUGUGCCCUGGUUUUAAUUAAAAUGUGAAGUGUAUACACUGAAGGACUUCUCUGCCAGGAGCCACUGCCUUGUGCAACUUUCCCACCACGGACAUCAAACGCCAACUGAAAAAAUACUCUGUUUUGUUCUUGCAUUGAAACUUCUCCAACUUUAUUACAUUUGGAAACAUAAUGUAGUAGUAGAGGGCAACAUUAUGUUGAUAUAUAUAAUUAGUUUGCAAAAAAAUAUAAUCAGGAGACACAUUUUUCAUAGAAUCAUUUCUUCACACAAUAGUUGCAGAAUAAUGGAUCACAUUGACUGAUCCUUCUUGCUAAAUGCUAUGACAAAGUAAAUGAGCAUUUGUAUAAAAAUGCUGUAACAGUUGAAGCUUGAAUUAGAGAGUCUGUAACCUUUGUUUGUGAUCAUAAAUUACAGAGAAACCCUGCAGGCAAGAAUGUAACAU
Long non-coding RNA from Aquila chrysaetos chrysaetos, 2067 nucleotides. RefSeq lists it as uncharacterized. The record is from RefSeq and is a predicted model, not a curated record. NCBI's taxonomy places the organism in Eukaryota, Metazoa, Chordata, Aves, Accipitriformes, Accipitridae. The transcript has 2 exons.